This 1408-nucleotide ribosomal RNA is filed under the name Azotobacter vinelandii. RNAcentral's name for it is "bacterial SSU rRNA". It matches the Rfam family "Bacterial small subunit ribosomal RNA". Lineage: Bacteria; Pseudomonadati; Pseudomonadota; Gammaproteobacteria; Pseudomonadales; Pseudomonadaceae. The record is from RNAcentral.
UGCAGUCGAGCGGCAGCGGGACCUUCGGGUUGCCGGCGAGCGGCGGACGGGUGAGUAAUGCCUAGGACUCUGCCUGUUAGUGGGGGAUAACGCGGGGAAACUCGCGCUAAUACCGCAGACAUCCUACGGGAGAAAGCGGGGGCUCUUCGGACCUCGCGCUAACAGAUGAGCCUAGGUCGGAUUAACUAGUUGGUGGGGUAAGGGCCCACCAAGGCAACCAUCCAUAACUGGUCUGAGAGGAUGAUCAAUCACACUGGAACUGACACACGGUCCAGACUCCUACCGGAGGCAGCAAUGGGGAAUAUUGGACGAUGGGCGAAAGCCUGAUCCAGCCAUGCCGCGUGUGUGAAGAAGGUCUUCCGAUUGUAAAGCACUUUAAGUCGGGAGGAAGGACUGUACGCUAAUACCUUGCAGUUUUGACGUUACCGACGAAAUAAGCACCGGCUAACUUCGUGCCACCAGCCGCGGUAAUACGAAGGGUGCAAGCGUUAAUCGGAAUUACUGGGUCGUAAAGCGCGCGUAGGUGGUUCAGCAAGUUGGAUGUGAAAUGCCCCGGGCUCAACUCUGGGAACUGGCAUCCAAAACUACUGGGCUAGAGUACGGUAGAGGGUGGGUGGAAUUUCCUGUGUAGCGGUGAAAUGCUUAGAUAUGAGAUAGAAACACCGAGUGGCGAAAGCGACUGGCUGCACUGAUACUGACGCUGAGGUGCGAAAGCGUGGGGAGCAAACAGGGAUUAGAUACCCUGGUAGUCCACGCCCUAAACGAUGAUCUACUCGACGAUUGGGGCUCCUAUGUAGAACGUAUCGUGGAGCAACAAAUGCUUUAAGUCGACCUGCCUGAGGGAGUACGUCGGGAUUGAUAAUAACUCGGAUGUAGUUGACGGUCGCCCGCAGCAGCGGUGGAUGCAGGUGAUUUAAUUCGAAGCAACGCGACGAUCCUUACCUGGCAUUGACAUCCUGCGAGCUCGGUAAAGAUACCUUGGUGCAUUCAGGAGCGCAGAGACAGGUGCUGCAUGCCUGUUGUCAGCUCGUGUCGUGAGAUGUUGGGUUAAGUCCCGUAACGAGCGCAACCCUUGUCCUUAGUCACCAGCACCUAGGGUGGGCACUUUAAGGAGACAGCCGGUGACAAACCGGAGGAAGGUGGGGAUGAGGUCAAGUCAUCAUGUCCUUUACGCCCAGGGCUACACACCUGCUACAAUGGUCGGUACAGAGGGUUACCAAGCCGCGAGGCGGAAACAAUCCCAGAAAACCUAUCGUAGUCCGGAUCGCAGUCUGCAACUCGAAUGUGUGAAGUCGGAAUCGGUAGUAAUCGCGAAUCAGAAUGUCGCGGUGAAUACGUUCCCGGGCUUCGUACACACCUCCCGUCACACCAUGGGAGUGGGUUGCUCCAGAGGUAGCUAGUUUAACAU